This 875-nucleotide long non-coding RNA is filed under the name Marmota monax (woodchuck). Lineage: Eukaryota; Metazoa; Chordata; Mammalia; Rodentia; Sciuridae. The record is from RNAcentral.
GCUGAAUGAGGCACCAUCACCCCAGUUGAUACUGACUUACUUGUGGGCCAUUCCUUCUCUCCCAGGGGCCUUUGCACUCCACACACAUAGGAGCUAUCCCUUGAGUCAGGGCAUAGUGCCAUUGGCAUUACCCAAACUGGGAUGCCCACUUCUAGCCUCUUAUGUCAUAUAGCUGGAGGUGAGGGCCCUGGCAGUAUCCUCACAAGCCUCUUCCCAGAGCAUCAGCACCCUCCACCAGGGAGACUUUUGAGCUGGUAGACUCCAGGCUGAGCCGAGGGCCAUGCGUGGGGAUCGCUGUGAAAAAUAACACAGAUGGUCAGCUUCGCCAUUUCCUGUACAACACAUAAUUAGGUUAGAUAAGAAACUAGCUGUGUCUAAGUGCUAUAAAUGUCUAUAUUAAGCUAUUUUGAAAGUGCCGAGCACUUUGACAUUUGAGAGUUCAGAGUAAUUGAGGUAUUGAAAUAAAAUUGCUUCUGUUAUUUAAAAGGUCAUUAUCGUCUUCAGCUAGAUAUAUGAGGACUAUUUUCCACUCUAGUGAGCCGUUCUCUCUGGCACAAUUAGUAUCGCUUGAGCAGAGGCCUGCCAGGGAGACUCCCACCAGGCAGCCCCUGCCAGAGGCUCGAGGUAGCCAUUAAGACCCAGAGCACAAGGAAAGUGAAAAGAAGUCUCCACACCCAGAAUCAAGCCGGCCUUGGGAGAGCCAUCCCCACAGAUUUGGCACCUAUCUGGGCACAGUCCUUAAACAGGUAUGUGCUGUGCAAUUUUGCUAUAUCCUCAAGGAUGAUAUUAUUGCAGAACAUUGAAGAAACUGAGGCUUCAGGCUGGCCAUCCCCAGAGAAGCAGCGGGGGUGUGGGCAGUGGGACCAGGACAGGAG